RNAcentral lists this ribosomal RNA (242 nucleotides) under uncultured bacterium. Its description in RNAcentral is "partial 16S ribosomal RNA". It matches the Rfam family "Bacterial small subunit ribosomal RNA", at positions 524 to 769 of the family's 1533-position model. The record is from RNAcentral.
UACGUAGGUGGCGAGCGUUGUCCGGAUUAUUGGGCGUAAGCGCGCGCAGGCGGUGCGGUAAGUCUGCGGUGAAAUCCUCCCGGCUCAACUGGGAGGGUGCGGUGGAGACUGCCGGACUGGAGGCACUCAGAGGCCGGUGGAAUUCCCGGUGUAGUGGUGAAAUGCGUAGAGAUCGGGAGGACACCAGUGGCGAAGGCGGCUGGCUGGGGGUGACCUGACGCUGAGGCGCGAAGCGUGGGAGC